This 253-nucleotide ribosomal RNA is filed under the name uncultured bacterium. RNAcentral's name for it is "partial 16S ribosomal RNA". It matches the Rfam family "Bacterial small subunit ribosomal RNA", at positions 524 to 776 of the family's 1533-position model. The record is from RNAcentral.
UACGAAGGGGGCUAGCGUUGUCCGGAAUUACUGGGCGUAAAGCGCGCGUAGGCGGUUACGCAAGUCGGGCGUGAAAGCCCGGGGCUCAACCCCGGAACUGCGUCCGAGACUGCGUGACUUGAGACCGGAAGAGGAGAGCGGAAUUCCCAGUGUAGAGGUGAAAUUCGUAGAUAUUGGGAAGAACACCAGUGGCGAAGGCGGCUCACUGGCCCGAUACUGACGCUGAGGUGCGAAAGCGUGGGGAGCAAACAGG